Molecule: ribosomal RNA, 490 nt
Filed under: uncultured bacterium
Lineage: Bacteria
Description: partial 16S ribosomal RNA
Rfam family: Bacterial small subunit ribosomal RNA
Source: RNAcentral
GAUGAACGCUAGCGAUAGGCUUAACACAUGCAAGUCGAGGGGCAGCAUGGUCUUAGCUUGCUAAGACUGAUGGCGACCGGCGCACGGGUGCGUAACGCGUAUGCAACUUGCCUCACAGAGGGGGAUAACCCGUCGAAGGACGGACUAAUACCGCGUACACUCCAUCUUGGGCAUCCAAGGUAGAGGAAAUGAAAUUCGCUGUGAGAUAGGCAUGCGUCCCAUUAGCUAGUUGGUGAGGUAACGGCUCACCAAGGCGACGAUGGGUAGGGGAACUGAGAGGUUGAACCCCCACACUGGUACUGAGACACGGACCAGACUCCUACGGGAGGCAGCAGUGAGGAAUAUUGGUCAAUGGGCGAGAGCCUGAACCAGCCAAGUCGCGUGAAGGAUGACUGACUUAUGGAUUGUAAACUUCUUUUAUACGGGAAUAACAAGAGUCACGUGUGACUCCCUGCAUGUACCGUAUGAAUAAGCAUCGGCUAACUCCGUG